Molecule: transfer RNA, 71 nt
Filed under: Nomascus leucogenys (northern white-cheeked gibbon)
Lineage: Eukaryota; Metazoa; Chordata; Mammalia; Primates; Hylobatidae
Rfam family: tRNA
About the family: Transfer RNA (tRNA) molecules are approximately 80 nucleotides in length.
Source: Rfam by way of RNAcentral
ACUUUUAAAGUACAAGAGCGACCUGUUGGUCUUAGGAACCAAAAAUAUUGGUGCAACUCCAAAUAAAAGUA